GGGGGCGACAUGGUUUCGACGGUGGCGGAUGAAGCAUGAGCAGCGCGCCGAGGUUCCCGGUGGCCUCGUUAAAAACCGGGGACAAAUUAACUGCGAACGAACAAUUCGCUCUCGCUGCCUAAUAAAGUGCAGCGCGUUCUUACCGUGACCGCCUGCUAGCGGAUAAGGACGAAGCCAGCGGGCCUCGAACCGGGAGUUGACGGCGUACCGGCAAGAGUAGUUAGUCGUCUAGCGACGCCGGAAAGCGAGUCUGACGCGUUCCGGAAGGGUGAAUCUUCAAAGGAAAGACUACGCGCGUAGAUACUCAUGUGGAAGCGCUAUCGGACGCGGGUUCGAUUCCCGCCGCCUCCACCA
This 354-nucleotide transfer-messenger RNA is filed under the name Candidatus Hydrogenedentota bacterium. It matches the Rfam family "transfer-messenger RNA". Rfam says of the family: Bacterial tmRNA, also known as 10Sa RNA or SsrA, is named for its dual tRNA and mRNA-like properties. RNAcentral also lists the same sequence under 1 other name. Lineage: Bacteria; Pseudomonadati; Candidatus Hydrogenedentota. The record is from RNAcentral.